CCUACGGGGCGCAGCAGUGGGGAAUAUUGGACAAUGGGCGAAAGCCUGAUCCAGCCAUGCCGCGUGUGUGAAGAAGGCCUUCGGGUUGUAAAGCACUUUCAGUGGGGAAGAAAGCCUUGGGGCUAAUACCCUCGAGGAAGGACAUCACCCACAGAAGAAGCACCGGCUAACUCCGUGCCAGCAGCCGCGGUAAUACGGAGGGUGCGAGCGUUAAUCGGAAUUACUGGGCGUAAAGCGCGCGUAGGCGGUCUGAUAAGCCGGUUGUGAAAGCCCCGGGCUCAACCUGGGAACGGCAUCCGGAACUGAUAGGCUAGAGUGCAGGAGAGGAAGGUAGAAUUCCCGGUGUAGCGGUGAAAUGCGUAGAGAUCGGGAGGAAUACCAGUGGCGAAGGCGGCCCUCUGGACUGACACUGACGCUGAGGUGCGAAAGCGUGGGUAGCAAACAGGAUUAGAUACCCGGGUAGUC
Molecule: ribosomal RNA, 465 nt
Filed under: Vreelandella stevensii
Lineage: Bacteria; Pseudomonadati; Pseudomonadota; Gammaproteobacteria; Oceanospirillales; Halomonadaceae
Description: partial 16S ribosomal RNA
Rfam family: Bacterial small subunit ribosomal RNA
Source: RNAcentral